RNAcentral lists this unclassified non-coding RNA (376 nucleotides) under soil metagenome. Its description in RNAcentral is "partial contains 5.8S ribosomal RNA, internal transcribed spacer 2, and large subunit ribosomal RNA". The stretch from base 1 to 120 matches the Rfam family "5.8S ribosomal RNA", at positions 35 to 154 of the family's 154-position model. The record is from RNAcentral.
GAUGAAGAACGCAGCGAAAUGCGAUAAGUAAUGUGAGUUGCAGAAUUCAGUGAAUCAUCGAAUCUUUGAACGCAUCUUGCGCUCCUUGGUAUUCUGAGGAGCAUGCCUGUUUGAGUGUCAUUAAAUUCUCAACUACACUGACUUUGAAUUGGUGUGGCUUGGAUUUGGGGGGAAAAUUGUUGUGGGCUUUUUGUAUAGUCUGCUCCCCUGAAAUUGAUUAGCGGUACCUUUGUGGAACUGUCUACAGGUGUGAUAAUUAUCUACAUCUUAGACAUCUGCUGGAAUGCUGCUUUCUAACCCUUACUUGUAUUGACAAUCUUGACCUCAAAUCAGGUAGGACUACCCGCUGAACUUAAGCAUAUCAAUAAGCGGAGGA